AACGAACGCUGGCGGCAUGCCUAACACAUGCAAGUCGAACGAGACCUUCGGGUCUAGUUGCGCACGGGGGCGUAACGCGUGGGAACCUGCCCUUAGGUUCGGAAUAACUCCCCGAAAGGGGUGCUAAUACCGGAUAAUGUCUUCCGGCCAAAGAGUUAUCGCCUUUGGGUGGGCCCGCGUUGGAUUAGCUAGUUGGUAGGGUAAAAGCAUACCAAGGCGACGAUCCAUAGCUGGUCUGAGAGGAUGAUCAGCCACACUGGGACUGAGACACGGCCCAGACUCCUACGGGAGGCAGCAGUGGGGAAUAUUGGACAAUGGGCGAAAGCCUGAUCCAGCAAUGCCGCGUGAGUGAUGAAGGCCUUAGGGUUGUAAAGCUGUUUUACACGGGAUGAUAAUGACAGUACCGGGAGAAUAAGCUCCGGCUAACUCCGUG
Molecule: ribosomal RNA, 433 nt
Filed under: uncultured bacterium
Lineage: Bacteria
Description: partial 16S ribosomal RNA
Rfam family: Bacterial small subunit ribosomal RNA
Source: RNAcentral